RNAcentral lists this ribosomal RNA (1438 nucleotides) under uncultured organism. RNAcentral describes it as "SSU rRNA". It matches the Rfam family "Bacterial small subunit ribosomal RNA". The record is from RNAcentral.
UGCUACAGGCUUAACACAUGCAAGUCGAGGGGCAGCAUGGUCUUAGCUUGCUAAGGCCGAUGGCGACCGGCGCACGGGUGAGUAACACGUAUCCAACCUGCCGUCUACUCUUGGACAGCCUUCUGAAAGGAAGAUUAAUACAAGAUGGCAUCAUGAGUCCACAUGUUCACAUGAUUAAAGGUAUUCCGGUAGACGAUGGGGAUGCGUUCCAUUAGAUAGUAGGCGGGGUAACGGCCCACCUAGUCUUCGAUGGAUAGGGGUUCUGAGAGGAAGGUCCCCCACAUUGGAACUGAGACACGGUCCAAACUCCUACGGGAGGCAGCAGUGAGGAAUAUUGGUCAAUGGGCGAGAGCCUGAACCAGCCAAGUAGCGUGAAGGAUGACUGCCCUAUGGGUUGUAAACUUCUUUUAUAAAGGAAUAAAGUCGGGUAUGCAUACCCGUUUGCAUGUACUUUAUGAAUAAGGAUCGGCUAACUCCGUGCCAGCAGCCGCGGUAAUACGGAGGAUCCGAGCGUUAUCCGGAUUUAUUGGGUUUAAAGGGAGCGUAGAUGGAUGUUUAAGUCAGUUGUGAAAGUUUGCGGCUCAACCGUAAAAUUGCAGUUGAUACUGGAUAUCUUGAGUGCAGUUGAGGCAGGCGGAAUUCGUGGUGUAGCGGUGAAAUGCUUAGAUAUCACGAAGAACUCCGAUUGCGAAGGCAGCCUGCUAAGCUGCAACUGACAUUGAGGCUCGAAAGUGUGGGUAUCAAACAGGAUUAGAUACCCUGGUAGUCCACACGGUAAACGAUGAAUACUCGCUGUUUGCGAUAUACAGCAAGCGGCCAAGCGAAAGCGUUAAGUAUUCCACCUGGGGAGUACGCCGGCAACGGUGAAACUCAAAGGAAUUGACGGGGGCCCGCACAAGCGGAGGAACAUGUGGUUUAAUUCGAUGAUACGCGAGGAACCUUACCCGGGCUUAAAUUGCAGAUGAAUUACGGUGAAAGCCGUAAGCCGCAAGGCAUCUGUGAAGGUGCUGCAUGGUUGUCGUCAGCUCGUGCCGUGAGGUGUCGGCUUAAGUGCCAUAACGAGCGCAACCCUUGUUGUCAGUUACUAACAGGUUCCGCUGAGGACUCUGACAAGACUGCCAUCGUAAGAUGUGAGGAAGGUGGGGAUGACGUCAAAUCAGCACGGCCCUUACGUCCGGGGCUACACACGUGUUACAAUGGGGGGUACAGAGGGCCGCUACCACGCGAGUGGAUGCCAAUCCCAAAAACCUCUCUCAGUUCGGACUGGAGUCUGCAACCCGACUCCACGAAGCUGGAUUCGCUAGUAAUCGCGCAUCAGCCACGGCGCGGUGAAUACGUUCCCGGGCCUUGUACACACCGCCCGUCAAGCCAUGGGAGCCGGGGGUACCUGAAGUGCGUAACCGCGAGGAGCGCCCUAGGGUAAAACUGGUGACUGGGG